AAUGCUGAUAUUUAGAGAAACUGCGUUAUUUUUAAUUUCCUUCAGUUUACUCAACAUUUGAAAUAUCGUAAUAUAAUCAAUUUUUUCUCUCUUUUUUUUGUUUCUUUUAGAUUGAAGUGUGGAAAACUUUUGGAGCCAUAGAAAAGAAAGAAUUUAAAACGCUUCCCGCUGCCAUUGACAAUAUUCAGAUUUAUACAGAGCUGACUUUGUCGGUAGAAGGUCCAAGUCAAGUUUGGAUUCAAAUCUUCCGUGGCAGUGGCGAGUUCGUCGUAUUUCAAGAUUUUCUGGGUGAUAAAUCGAAAAAUUCCCCAGACGAUAAGCCAGUAACCGGUGGUGAGAAUCAAGGAAUUGUGCUCAUGACGGGGAGAAUCAACGUUUGGGAGCGUGAAUCGAAACUCAGUAAUGUCCCGUCUAUUAACGAUUUUCAACAGACUCUGAACGGACACGAUUCAUACGGGCACUUCCUUGAUUUUCUGGAAUCAGUGGGUGGGACCCAAGCAAAAGCAAUAACGGACAUUCAUACCUGCUCAAAAGGAUUGUUGGGAAAAAUUAAAAUAAGCCGAGACUGGACCGUUUAUUUGGACAGAAUUAUAAACCUUAAUAUUAUGUGGAAUGCUCAAGCCACUGGACAGUUACCAAGACCUGCCUCGAUUCAAUCUAUUAAACUUGAUCCUGAGCAAGUGGACCGUCUAAUAACAGUUUCAGAUGUUGAAUUUUUCCUGAACACCAGCUGUUAACUGCCUGCAGUGAUUGGAGUUACGAUGAAUGGUUUCAAAACUAAUCCAGUGCCUAAAAUAGUCGAGAAAUUGGAUGAUGUACACGCAGAGAGACUAACUUGUACCAUAUGGAAACAGCACGUUUAAGGUAACAGCAUGUCUCCACCAAUCCACCAAAAAAGACAAUUGAAGAAAAUAUACGAGCCUGA
RNAcentral lists this long non-coding RNA (925 nucleotides) under Bemisia tabaci. RNAcentral describes it as "lncRNA ENSSSA2NGG006396". Lineage: Eukaryota; Metazoa; Arthropoda; Insecta; Hemiptera; Aleyrodidae. The record is from RNAcentral.